Camellia sinensis is the source of this 290-nucleotide non-coding RNA. NCBI's taxonomy places the organism in Eukaryota, Viridiplantae, Streptophyta, Magnoliopsida, Ericales, Theaceae. The record is from RefSeq and is a predicted model, not a curated record.
AGAUUGAUGCUCAUACUGGUAAUGUUAGCGAUCUUGCUUUCUGUCACCCAAACAAACAACUAUGCGUUAUAAUUUGUGGGGAGGACAAGACUAUUAAGGUCUGGGAUGUUGCCACUGGUUCUAAGCAGUACACUUUCGAGGGUCAUCAGUUACCUGUUUAUUCUGUGUGCCCACAUACUAAGGAAAACAUUCAGUUCAUCUUUUUGACGGGUAUUGAUGGGAAGAUUAAGGCAUGGUUGUAUGAUAAUUUGGGUUCAAGAGCUGAUUAUGAUGCCCCAGGACAUUCUUGC